This 874-nucleotide long non-coding RNA is filed under the name Equus caballus (horse). RNAcentral describes it as "lncRNA (ENSECAG00000058174.1)". Lineage: Eukaryota; Metazoa; Chordata; Mammalia; Perissodactyla; Equidae. The record is from RNAcentral.
CCAGCCCUCUAGAGUUCAUUUGAGUCCAGCUGCUACUAUGUUUCUACUGUGAAGCAAUCUUAGGCUGAGAGUCAGAAGAAUUGCUCUCCCAAGGGAGCGCGUCUGAUGGUGAUCACCACUAGGGAUGAGCAGGAAGAUUAGCCCUGAGCUAACUGCUGCCAAUCCUCCUCUUUUUUCUGAGGAAGACCGGCCCUGAGCUAACAUCCGUGCCCAUCUUCCUCUACUUUAUGUGUGGGGCGCCUACCACAGGAUGGCGUGCCCAGUGGUGCCAUGUCCGCACCUGGGAUCUGAACUGGCGAACCCUGGGCUCCCAAGAAGCGGAAAGUGUGCAUUUAACCGCUGCGCCACAGGGCCGGCCCCUCAGUUAUUGUAUUUUUGAAAUCCAGAAUUUCUUUUUGUUUCUCCUCCAAAUAUGCUAUGUCAAAUUUUAUAAUAUUAAAUUCUAUGCUCAAGUUUGUCUUUUAUCUCCUCAAACAUAAGAAGCAUAGUUGUUUCAUACUCUGUUUCUAAUGAUACCCAUGCGCAUAAUUAUCUUUUAUUUUGUGCUGGACAUUAUAUUUGAAAAAUUAUUUAUAAAAACGAUUGCAGGACUAAGGAAUUGUUUUCUUCCGGAAAAUAAUAUUUUCAUUUGCUUCUGCCACAUGCCUUGGCACAAGAUGUCUUAUAUUAUAUUAAUGUAGUUUCAGGGUUUGAAAUGUCUAUACCAUUCAGAUGAUUCAAAACCAGAUUGCAAUUUAUAUGAGGUCUGAUUUACCACCUAUUCAAACGAACUCAUUUCUGGGUCCUGGACUCCAACUUUGUCUCCCAACCCCCACCCUAAAACGCUGUCAAAAGUGCUAUUCAUUCUGUCUCUCCCACUACCUUGUAAACAUAA